RNAcentral lists this transfer RNA (72 nucleotides) under Ictidomys tridecemlineatus (thirteen-lined ground squirrel). RNAcentral describes it as "Spermophilus tridecemlineatus (thirteen-lined ground squirrel) tRNA". It matches the Rfam family "tRNA". From Rfam's summary of the family: Transfer RNA (tRNA) molecules are approximately 80 nucleotides in length. Their secondary structure includes four short double-helical elements and three loops (D, anti-codon, and T loops). Lineage: Eukaryota; Metazoa; Chordata; Mammalia; Rodentia; Sciuridae. The record is from Rfam by way of RNAcentral.
GGGGGUGUGGCUCAGUGGUAGAGCGCUUGCUCUAUAUGUGUGAAUCCCUGGGUUCAAUCCUCAGCACCACAU